This 748-nucleotide ribosomal RNA is filed under the name uncultured Gammaproteobacteria bacterium. Its description in RNAcentral is "bacterial SSU rRNA". It matches the Rfam family "Bacterial small subunit ribosomal RNA", at positions 46 to 790 of the family's 1533-position model. The record is from RNAcentral. Lineage: Bacteria; Pseudomonadati; Pseudomonadota; Gammaproteobacteria.
GCUCAACACGUGCAAGACUCGAGCGGUAGAAGGGAGCUUGCUCCUGGUAUCAGCGGCGGACGGGUGAGUAAUGCCUAGGAAUCUGCUGGUAGUGGGGGACAACGUUUCGAAAGGAACGCUAAUACCGCAUACGUCCUACGGGAGAAAGCAGGGGACCUUCGGGCCUUGCGCUAUCAGAUGAGCCUAGGUCGGAUUAGCUAGUUGGUGAGGUAAUGGCUCACCAAGGCGACGAUCCGUAACUGGUCUGAGAGGAUGAUCAGUCACACUGGAACUGAGACACGGUCCAGACUCCUACGGGAGGCAGCAGUGGGGAAUAUUGGACAAUGGGCGAAAGCCUGAUCCAGCCAUGCCGCGUGUGUGAAGAAGGUCUUCGGAUUGUAAAGCACUUUAAGUUGGGAGGAAGGGUUGUAGAUUAAUACUCUGCAAUUUUGACGUUACCGACAGAAUAAGCACCGGCUAACUCUGUGCCAGCAGCCGCGGUAAUACAGAGGGUGCAAGCCUUAAUCGGAAUUACUGGGCGUAAAGCGCGCGUAGGUGGUUUGUAAGUUGGAUGUGAAAUCCCCGGGCUCAACCUGGGAACUGCAUCCAAAACUGGCAAGCUAGAGUAUGGUAGAGGGUGGUGGAAUUUCCUGUGUAGCGGUGAAAUGCGUAGAUAUAGGAAGGAACACCAGUGGCGAAGGCGACCACCUGGACUGAUACUGACACUGAGGUGCGAAAGCGUGGGGAGCAAACAGGUUAGAUACCCUGG